AUGACACUCACCUAACACUGCCCGAUGACCUUUCACCCUCCUGCCGAUGUUCGGUGAGACGAGACUGAGUCUGUCACUUCUUGAACCUAACAGGGGGCUGGGACUCCUUCUUGGUGGUGGUUGAUCAGCGAAAAGCCCAUAACUGCUUCCCGCGUUGACAGCAUUGCUGGCACUGACAGUUCCCACCCCUCCGGCAACGCUCCAUUCUGCCACACUGUCGAUCGAACUGCUUCUUGGAAGGCAGGAGCUCGUUGCGCUGCACACUCGCCUUUUCUCCUUUCGCUGUUGCUUCUUCUUCUUGAAGGCUUUCUUCACCCGCAAAAGCAGAAAGGCGGCGCGAUCGAUGGUCAGGCCCGGUGAAGCCUUGUCGCCGCUCGACAUCCUGCGUCCUAGUCCUCCCAACACC
This 406-nucleotide unclassified non-coding RNA is filed under the name Bombus terrestris (buff-tailed bumblebee). RNAcentral describes it as "misc RNA ENSBTSG00005020056.1". Lineage: Eukaryota; Metazoa; Arthropoda; Insecta; Hymenoptera; Apidae. The record is from RNAcentral.